This 207-nucleotide ribosomal RNA is filed under the name uncultured bacterium. RNAcentral describes it as "partial 16S ribosomal RNA". It matches the Rfam family "Bacterial small subunit ribosomal RNA", at positions 568 to 774 of the family's 1533-position model. The record is from RNAcentral.
CGCGCAGGCGGUCCUUUAAGUCUGAUGUGAAAGCCCACGGCUCAACCGUGGAGGGUCAUUGGAAACUGGGGGACUUGAGUGCAGAAGAGGAAAGCGGAAUUCCACGUGUAGCGGUGAAAUGCGUAGAGAUGUGGAGGAACACCAGUGGCGAAGGCGGCUUUCUGGUCUGUAACUGACGCUGAGGCGCGAAAGCGUGGGGAGCAAACA